RNAcentral lists this transfer RNA (82 nucleotides) under Puccinia triticina 1-1 BBBD Race 1. RNAcentral describes it as "tRNA-Ser (AGA) (tRNA-Ser-AGA-5-1)". It matches the Rfam family "tRNA". Rfam says of the family: Transfer RNA (tRNA) molecules are approximately 80 nucleotides in length. Their secondary structure includes four short double-helical elements and three loops (D, anti-codon, and T loops). The record is from RNAcentral. Lineage: Eukaryota; Fungi; Basidiomycota; Pucciniomycetes; Pucciniales; Pucciniaceae.
GACAACGUGGCCGAGCGGUUAAGGCGAUUGACUAGAAAUCAAUUGGGAUAUUCUCGCGUAGGUUCAAAUCCUGCCGUUGUCG